This is a long non-coding RNA of Panthera uncia (snow leopard), 804 nucleotides long. RefSeq lists it as uncharacterized. The transcript is spliced from 3 exons. NCBI's taxonomy places the organism in Eukaryota, Metazoa, Chordata, Mammalia, Carnivora, Felidae. The record is from RefSeq and is a predicted model, not a curated record.
UAGGCAUCUGUUUUGUGCCAGGUGCUUGUUAGGCAAUGGGGAGAAAGGGGGUAAAAGAGCCCCCUUUCUUCCCAGAAAGUUGUAGUUGGGGGAACAAAGACACAAGUAAGUAUGUAACAUUGUGUCAGCCAGUGACAAGGAGAAAGGAAGGACGAAUAAUAACAUCAAGCAUAACCCCAAAUCACACGUGUCCUGGUAAAGGAUGGACCCCGUGGGGAGACAGGUCUGCAGGGGAGAGGUGUCGCUGAGGUUUUAAGCAGGCUGCUUCACGCUCCGCAGUGCAUUCCUGAUGGCCUUGGGGGGCGGGGGGGGGGGGCGGGUGCCCGUCGGAUGUCCUCCUGGAGCGGAAUCUCCAGGAAUAAAAACCCAUCCUGGAAGGCUGCCCGACACCCUUUUUGGGGAAGGAGGUGGGACCGGACGCCAGGCAGGCAAUGCUGGCCAAGGUCAGAUGGAGUUUGCCUGUGAAUCCUCCACGAGGCUGGCCUGACGGAGCAGCGACCCCCACCUCAGCUCUCCAGCGACGUCUGAGUUCCUGCUGCCGUGACCUGAGUACCAGAGUUUGUUCAACAAAUGGGGACCAGAUGGAUGAUCUUCCCGAUGGGACUCAGGAAGGAGCAUUAUCUCCAGGUCAUACAGACCUCCUAAAUCACCUCCACCUUCCUGUAGCCUGGCUGGAAAGUCUACCCCUGGGCACUUUCUCUCGUUGGCUGAGCCCAGGGUUAAUUCCACACGUCCACAUUCAUUCUUGGGGGUUGUCUUUUCUGCAGGCCCCUUGCUUGAAAAUAGAAACACCCCUGGAAAGAA